This 252-nucleotide ribosomal RNA is filed under the name uncultured bacterium. Its description in RNAcentral is "partial 16S ribosomal RNA". It matches the Rfam family "Bacterial small subunit ribosomal RNA", at positions 524 to 776 of the family's 1533-position model. The record is from RNAcentral.
UACGUAGGGUGCGAGCGUUGUCCGGAAUUAUUGGGCGUAAAGAGCUCGUAGGCGGUCUGUCGCGUCGGCUGUGAAAACUCGGGGCUCAACUCCGAGCUUGCAGUCGAUACGGGCAGGCUAGAGUUCGGCAGGGGAGACUGGAAUUCCUGGUGUAGCGGUGAAAUGCGCAGAUAUCAGGAGGAACACCGGUGGCGAAGGCGGGUCUCUGGGCCGAUACUGACGUGAGGAGCGAAAGCGUGGGGAGCGAACAGG